RNAcentral lists this ribosomal RNA (465 nucleotides) under uncultured bacterium. RNAcentral's name for it is "partial 16S ribosomal RNA". It matches the Rfam family "Bacterial small subunit ribosomal RNA", at positions 28 to 507 of the family's 1533-position model. The record is from RNAcentral.
GACGAACGCUGGCGGCGUGCUUAACACAUGCAAGUCGAACGGAAAGGCCCCUUUGGGGGUACUCGAGUGGCGAACGGGUGAGUAACACGUGAGUAACCUGCCCUUGACUUCGGGAUAACUUCAGGAAACUGGGGCUAAUACCGGAUAGGCAUCCUUGCUGCAUGGUGGGGGUUGGAAAGCUUCGGCGGUUUUGGCUGGACUCGCGGCUUAUCAGCUUGUUGGUGGGGUAGUGGCUUACCAAGGCUUUGACGGGUAGCCGGCCUGAGAGGGCGACCGGCCACAUUGGGACUGAGAUACGGCCCAGACUCCUACGGGAGGCAGCAGUGGGGAAUAUUGCACAAUGGGCGGAAGCCUGAUGCAGCAACGCCGCGUGCGGGAUGACGGCCUUCGGGUUGUAAACCGCUUUCAGCAGGGGCGAAGCUUGUGGUGACGGUACCUGCAGAAGAAGCACCGGCUAACUACGUG